UACGGAGGGGGCAAGCGUUGUUCGGAAUUACUGGGCGUAAAGGGCGCGCAGGCGGCUGCUCAAGUCAGGCGUGAAAGGCCUGGGCUCAACCCGGGAAUUGCGCUUGAGACUGGGCUGGCUUGAGUGCGGGAGAGGAUGGUGGAAUUCCCAGUGUAGAGGUGAAAUUCGUAGAUAUUGGGAAGAACACCGGUGGCGAAGGCGGCGACCUGGUCCGAUACUGACGCUGAGGCGCGAAAGCGUGGGGAGCAAACAGG
This 254-nucleotide ribosomal RNA is filed under the name uncultured bacterium. RNAcentral describes it as "partial 16S ribosomal RNA". It matches the Rfam family "Bacterial small subunit ribosomal RNA", at positions 524 to 776 of the family's 1533-position model. The record is from RNAcentral.